Molecule: ribosomal RNA, 965 nt
Filed under: uncultured bacterium
Lineage: Bacteria
Description: bacterial SSU rRNA
Rfam family: Bacterial small subunit ribosomal RNA
Source: RNAcentral
GAGUUUGAUCCUGGCUCAGGAUGAACGCUAGCGACAGGCCUAACACAUGCAAGUCGAGGGGUAUAAGUAGCUUGCUACUUAGAGACCGGCGCACGGGUGAGUAACGCGUAUGCAACCUACCUUUUACUGGGGGAUAGCUCAAAGAAAUUUGGAUUAAUACCGCAUAACAUAUUUGAAUCGCAUGGUUUAAAUAUUAAAACUUCGGUGGUAAAAGAUGGGCAUGCGUAGCAUUAGUUAGUUGGUGAGGUAACGGCUCACCAAGACUAUGAUGCUUAGGGGGUCUGAGAGGAUAGUCCCCCACACUGGUACUGAGACACGGACCAGACUCCUACGGGAGGCAGCAGUGAGGAAUAUUGGUCAAUGGGCGCAAGCCUGAACCAGCCAUGUCGCGUGCAGGAUGACGGCCCUAUGGGUUGUAAACUGCUUUUUUACAGGAAUAAACUUUGUUACGUGUAGCAAACUGAGGGUACUGUAAGAAUAAGGAUCGGCUAACUCCGUGCCAGCAGCCGCGGUAAUACGGAGGAUCCAAGCGUUAUCCGGAUUUAUUGGGUUUAAAGGGUCCGUAGGCGGGCUUUUAAGUCAGUGGUGAAAUCCCAGAGCUCAACUCUGGAACUGCCAUUGAUACUGAAGGUCUUGAAUUUAGUUGAGGUGGGCGGAAUACGUUAUGUAGCGGUGAAAUGCAUAGAUAUAACGUAGAACACCGAUUGCGAAGGCAGCUCACUAAGCUAACAUUGACGCUGAUGGACGAAAGCGUGGGGAGCGAACAGGAUUAAAUACUCUGGUAGUCCACGCCGUAAACGAUGAUUACUCGUUGUGCACGAUACACUGUGCGUGACUGAGCGAAAGCAUUAAGUAAUCCACCUGGGGAGUACGUUCGCAAGAAUGAAACUCAAAGGAAUUGACGGGGGCCUGCACAAGCGGAGGAACAUGUGGGUUUAAUUCGAUGAUACGCGAGGAACCUUAUC